CUAUGAUGUAAUAUUGCACACAUCCACAGUUCUUUCAAACUCUCUACAUACCUCAAAACAGAAUGCAUGUGUCAUGGUUGAUUAUAUAUUUCCUACCUGUUCUAUGUUACAUUUUGUAUAUGUUGUGUAUUUAUAUUGAUUUUGUAUUUUAUUGUACCCUAUUGUAUCAAUGCAAUGUUUUGUGGACACAGGACAUACUUGAAAACGAGAGAAAUCUCAAUGUAU
Non-coding RNA from Pelobates cultripes (western spadefoot toad), 225 nucleotides. The record is from the annotation of a GenBank genome assembly. NCBI's taxonomy places the organism in Eukaryota, Metazoa, Chordata, Amphibia, Anura, Pelobatidae.